UAGUGAUAGCUGGUUGUUCAGGAAAAGAGUUUUAGCUCUACCUUAAGCUUCUUGAUUAUACCAAAAACCCCUUAAAACUUAAGAGCCAUUCAAAUAAGGCACAGCUUAUUUGAAACAGGACACAACCUCUGAUACCGGGUAAACAAGGGAGAUUCAAACAAAGUCGGCCUAAAAGCAGCCACCUUUAAAAAAGCGUUAAAGCUUAAUUUUAAACUACCCAUAAUUUCCUAAAUUCCCAUUAACCCUUCACCACUACUGAACUAUUUUAUACUAUAUAAAAGCUAUUAUGCUAGAACUAGUAACAAGAAAUAGCCCUUCUCCAAAAUGUAAGCUUACACCAAAAUGGACAAUCCAUUGGUAGUCAACGCGAAUGUCAUAAUUACAGCAACAUACCUCUAGAAGACCCUGUGACCUCUUACGUUACCCUUACACUUGAACAUCUUAGGAAAGAUUAAAAGAGAAAGAAGGAACUCGGCAAAUCCUCAGCCCCGCCUGUUUACCAAAAACAUCGCCUCUUGACCAAAUAUAAGAGGUCCAGCCUGCCCAGUGAUAAAAUUCAACGGCCGCGGUACCCUAACCGUGCAAAGGUAGCAUAAUCACUUGUUCUCUAAAUAGGGACUAGUAUCAACGGCACCACGAGGGCUGUACUGUCUCCUUUCUCCCAUCAGUGAAACUGAUCUCCCCGUGAAAAAGCGGGGAUUGUUAUAUAAGACGAGAAGACCCCAUGGAGCUUUAAACUCAUCACCCAUUUCCUCACUUCUAUACCCAACCAUAUAAGGAACCUGUGUGAUAGUUUUGGGUUGGGGGGACCACGGAGUACAAUUUAACCUCCAUGACAAAUGGGCUACGCCCUUAUCUACGAACUACAACUCUAAGAAUCAUAAGCUGAUGUUUAAUGACCCGAUAAUUCGAUCAACGAACCAAGUUACCCUGGGGAUAACAGCGCAAUCUACUUUGAGAGCCCCUAUCGACAAGUAGGUUUACGACCUCGAUGUUGGAUCAGGGCAUCCUGGGGGUGCAGCCGCUCCUAAUGGUUCGUUUGUUCAACGAUUAAAACCCUACGUGAUCU
This 1069-nucleotide ribosomal RNA is filed under the name Nidirana sp. NNU00605. RNAcentral's name for it is "partial large subunit ribosomal RNA". It matches the Rfam family "Bacterial large subunit ribosomal RNA", at positions 840 to 2606 of the family's 2925-position model. Lineage: Eukaryota; Metazoa; Chordata; Amphibia; Anura; Ranidae. RNAcentral also lists the same sequence under 2 other names. The record is from RNAcentral.